This is a regulatory RNA element of 130 nucleotides. It matches the Rfam family "Ribosomal protein L20 leader". From Rfam's summary of the family: This family is a putative r-protein leader autoregulatory structure found in B. subtilis and other low-GC Gram-positive bacteria. It is located in the 5' untranslated regions of mRNAs encoding initiation factor 3 followed by ribosomal proteins L35 and L20 (infC-rpmI-rplT). The record is from Rfam.
AAAUGAAAGCAGAAGCAACCCGCUUCUCGCCUUAGUGAUUCUAAUCACUGGGCUUGAUAUCGAAUUCGAUUAACAAUUGUGUUAAUCGCUAUAUCAGAGCGGGCGCUUGCGUCCGCUCUUUCUGCUUUUU